GUGGUGUAUGCUGUUGCAUAAACAUACCUUUCAUUUCUAAAGUAGGUCAUGUGGUGUAUGCUGUUGCAUACACAUACCUUUCAUUUCUAAAGUAGGUCCUGUGGUGUGUGCUGUUGCAUAAACAUACCUUUCAUUUCUAAAGUAGGUCCUGUGGUGUGUGCUGUUGCAUAAACAUACCUUUCAUUUCUAAAG
This is a long non-coding RNA of Dreissena polymorpha, 192 nucleotides long. RefSeq lists it as uncharacterized. Lineage: Eukaryota; Metazoa; Mollusca; Bivalvia; Myida; Dreissenidae. The transcript has 3 exons. The record is from RefSeq and is a predicted model, not a curated record.